Pyrus x bretschneideri (Chinese white pear) is the source of this 1472-nucleotide long non-coding RNA. RefSeq lists it as uncharacterized. NCBI's taxonomy places the organism in Eukaryota, Viridiplantae, Streptophyta, Magnoliopsida, Rosales, Rosaceae. The record is from RefSeq and is a predicted model, not a curated record. The transcript has 5 exons.
UCUCAGCUUCAUUCAUACCUCUUCGACCCAUUUGGGGAUUGGGUUUCUCUCAAACCCUAAUUUUUCUCUCUUUCUGAUCUCAUCUCUCUGCUUGCGCCGAUCAGUGGAACACCGUCCAGGAAUGCGUCUCCGAAUUCAUUAACUUCGUCACCAGCGAGUAAUUUUCACUUCUCUCUCUUUCUCUCUUUCUGUCUCUACUGUUAUUUACUUUGCUUUUCAAUCGGAUUUUUUGGUGUUGAUUUUGAAUUCUAUAUUUGUGCUGAAUUCCAUUCUGAUCGAAAGAAAUUUAAUACCAGAAAGCUUGGCUCCCGUUCUGAUUUGAAGAAAUUUUUUCUUGGAUUAAACUAGUAGAUUAAUUGUAUUUUGUUGGUUCAAUUAGGGAUGUUUUUGGGGUCUUUUUUUAAGAAUAUAUUGAAUCAGUCUAUUUAUUAUUUACGUUAUUCCAUUGCGACCGUUUGAAGGUGAUCUGAAUUCACCUGUUGUGAUCACAGUUUGUGGUUUUGCACUCCCUGAUGGCAGGUCACUACUCGAAGCUAAAGAGACUUCUUCAGCCCUUGGGGCAGUUGCAUCCGCUGACGGCUCAGCAUUAGCAAAGAAGGAUACAUGCAGAUGUAGCAACAGUUUUGUAAGAGCCAAAGAAACUGUACAUGGGCUUGGGUUAGCGGUUGCUAUUUCAUCCCACAGAUGGAGACGCUAUUGAUACCGAGUAAUCUUCGAAGAAAGUCACCUCUUCAGAGAAGUAAUCUGGUAGCAUUCGUUAAGCACUUUCCAGGGAAUUCUCACGUUGCUUUCAUUAAGUUUUACAUGGCCAUGAUAAGAAGAGAGAACCCAGAAACCUUCAGAGCCGUCAAGAUGUUCCUACCCCGCAGAAGAAAGAACCCAUAAACCAAUUGGAGAGUCAAGUCCUUCCUACCCCGCAAAAGAAAUAACCCAGAAAUUCAUAGAAAUUUGUUUGCUCAUGCCUAUUUCUUCUCAGGUUUAUGGUGGUGCAGUGGUGAUACAGAAGGGAGAUGGAGAGGGAGAAGUGGUUAGUGCUCUAAUUUUCAAGAUUCUUUGAUUCUUAGGGGCAAACAGAGAGUAUUUGUAGUGGGUAUGGGAUCUGGUCUUGGUGGAGCAGCAUCUAGUCAUGAGGUAGAUGAAGAAGCAGCGCUGGUGAGGGAGAUGAUCACAGUAAGAUGAAGGGCUUUAUUGGAAUAAUCACAACCAAGUGAGGGCAUAAUUGGUAAAAGAAGUCCAUUCCCGAUUCCCCUCCAGUCAAGGAAGUCCAAUUCCUCCAAAAUAAGGAGUGGGAUUCCCAAAUUGGUGUGGACCCCACAUGUAUUUUGAUUCUCCAAGAUUACGUAAACAAAGAUGUAUCCCGUAAUCGAAAUCCAAUUCCAUAAAUUGAUUCUGAUUACGGGUACUUAAACGUGCCCUCGAAGCGAAGGAAAAGAAGCAGAAAAAAGUUGCUUCUCCUGCCCUUUCCUGCUCAA